UACGUAGGGGGCGAGCGUUAUCCGGAUUUACUGGGUGUAAAGGGAGCGUAGACGGCCGUGCAAGUCAGGAGUGAAAACCCGCGGCUCAACUGCGGGACUGCUCUUGAGACUGUAUGGCUGGAGUGCAGGAGAGGUAAGUGGAAUUCCUAGUGUAGCGGUGAAAUGCGUAGAUAUUAGGAGGAACACCAGUGGCGAAGGCGGCUUACUGGACUGUGACUGACGUUGAGGCUCGAAAGCGUGGGGAGCAAACAGG
RNAcentral lists this ribosomal RNA (253 nucleotides) under uncultured bacterium. Its description in RNAcentral is "partial 16S ribosomal RNA". It matches the Rfam family "Bacterial small subunit ribosomal RNA", at positions 524 to 776 of the family's 1533-position model. The record is from RNAcentral.